GCCGGUGUGGCGGAAUGGCAGACGCGCUCGACUCAAAAUCGAGUGGGGAGACCCGUGGAGGUUCGAGUCCUCUCACCGGUACCA
Molecule: transfer RNA, 84 nt
Filed under: Paenibacillus barengoltzii
Lineage: Bacteria; Bacillati; Bacillota; Bacilli; Caryophanales; Paenibacillaceae
Also listed under: 7 other names
Description: tRNA-Leu
Rfam family: tRNA
About the family: Transfer RNA (tRNA) molecules are approximately 80 nucleotides in length. Their secondary structure includes four short double-helical elements and three loops (D, anti-codon, and T loops).
Source: RNAcentral